GAAGAAAACCCAAAAGUGAUCAAUGAAGAAGAUGAAUAUAAAGAAGAAGAGAAAAUUAUUCAACAUUACUCUUCAUUUCAUCGGAUACUCUUAGUGGGUGAUGGAGAUUUCUCUUUUUCUCUCUGUUUAGCUCAGUUUUUUGGUUCUGCAUCGAAUAUUGUUGCUUCGUCUUUACAAUUAUAUGAUGAAGUGAUCAAAAUGUACAAGAAUGGGCAAUCGAACUUGGAAAAGCUGAAAUCUUUGGGAGGAACUGUGUUGCAUGGUGUGGAUGCAACUGAAAUACAGCUUCAUACUGAUCUCAGUAACCAGAAAUUUGAUAGGAUUAUCUAUAAUUUUCCUCAUGCAGGGUUUUAUGGCAGUGAAGAUCGUGAUCAUGUAAUACAAAUGCACAAG
This 393-nucleotide unclassified non-coding RNA is filed under the name Hevea brasiliensis (rubber tree). Lineage: Eukaryota; Viridiplantae; Streptophyta; Magnoliopsida; Malpighiales; Euphorbiaceae. The record is from RNAcentral.